This 433-nucleotide ribosomal RNA is filed under the name uncultured bacterium. RNAcentral describes it as "partial 16S ribosomal RNA". It matches the Rfam family "Bacterial small subunit ribosomal RNA", at positions 29 to 507 of the family's 1533-position model. The record is from RNAcentral.
AACGAAGGCUGGCGGCAUGCCUAACACAUGCAAGUCGAACGAGACCUUCGGGUCUAGUGGCGCACGGGUGCGUAACGCGUGGGAACCUGCCCUUAGGUUCGGAAUAACUCCCCGAAAGGGGUGCUAAUACCGGAUAAUGUCUUCGGACCAAAGAUUUAUCGCCUUUGGAUGGGCCCGCGUUGGAUUAGCUAGUUGGUAGGGUAAAAGCCUACCAAGGCGACGAUCCAUAGCUGGUCUGAGAGGAUGAUCAGCCACACUGGGACUGAGACACGGCCCAGACUCCUACGGGAGGCAGCAGUGGGGAAUAUUGGACAAUGGGCGAAAGCCUGAUCCAGCAAUGCCGCGUGAGUGAUGAAGGCCUUAGGGUUGUAAAGCUUUUUUACCCGGGAUGAUAAUGACAGUACCGGGAGAAUAAGCUCCGGCUAACUCCGUG